GCUCCAGUGGCGCAAUCGGUUAGCGCGCGGUGGUACUUAUAAUGCCGAGGUUGUGAGUUCGAGGCUCACCUGGAGCA
RNAcentral lists this transfer RNA (77 nucleotides) under Felis catus (domestic cat). RNAcentral's name for it is "tRNA-Ile (TAT) (tRNA-Ile-TAT-5-1, tRNA-Ile-TAT-5-2)". It matches the Rfam family "tRNA". Rfam says of the family: Transfer RNA (tRNA) molecules are approximately 80 nucleotides in length. The record is from RNAcentral. Lineage: Eukaryota; Metazoa; Chordata; Mammalia; Carnivora; Felidae.